CCAACAGUCCUUUUCAGGACUACCAAAUGAGUUACAAAAGAAUUAG
This is a non-coding RNA of Anopheles dirus, 46 nucleotides long. NCBI's taxonomy places the organism in Eukaryota, Metazoa, Arthropoda, Insecta, Diptera, Culicidae. The record is from Rfam.